This 1341-nucleotide long non-coding RNA is filed under the name Oreochromis niloticus (Nile tilapia). RNAcentral's name for it is "lncRNA (ENSONIG00000033130.1)". Lineage: Eukaryota; Metazoa; Chordata; Actinopteri; Cichliformes; Cichlidae. The record is from RNAcentral.
GUUUUACUUGAUUCAGGUCAGUUUUUCUGGCCUGUUUAUAACACCUUUGUAAAGCACUAUAUGAAUAAACUUCAUUUUACUUACAUGAUGCAGAAUGAUGAGGGGAAAGAUGUGUGUUGGGGUGGGGGUAACAGUCUGAAUGGCCCAAGGGAAGAACCUGUUAGAGAGUCUGGAGGUGUGGGACCUAAUUGACCUGAGGCGCUGUAUAUAAAGAACAUAAAAAUAUUAACCAGAAGAAUGUCACACCCUUAUAAAAUAGACUGAGAUUUUAAGGUGCAGAAAUGGGUUAAACUGCUGAUGUGUGGCAGAGCAGCAACAUACAGAUGUACAAUGAGAUCCAGAGCAUCUCCUACUCAGUGCAAACAGGUGGGAGAAGAAAGGGGGUGAGGUGCACGGUUUCUGCAGCACUACAUAUAUAUAAACAGUAUUUCGAAAAAACAGUACAAAUAUACAAAUGAACUGCAGUGAAUGUGUGAGCACGCUCAGUGCUACUACUUUUUUUUCUGAAGGUGAUGGCUGGAUAUUAAAGCUGUGAGACUUUAAACUGGAUCCUAAGCCUCUAUAUUUAUAUACAAUACACACAAAAACAUUAGAGCCCUUUAACAAAUUUCAGACCAUCCUGCUCUACCCCAGAGGUCUGAGCGGUUCCUCUGUAGAUGACCAAUUAUCUGUAUCAGAGCAUUUCAUGAACAGUUUUCCAGGCUUCCUCCCGUGGUGAUGGUGGAGUGGUUUGAUGAGGAGCUCCUCCUUUGGUGUUGAUGGAGAGCUUCUCCUGUGCUGAUGAUGAUGAGGAGCUCAACCUGUGCUGAUGUUUCUCUGUGUGAUGUAGGAGGUGGGGGAGCAGACCUGUGGAGCUGUGGAGGUGACGGCUGUCUGAGACGGAGCGUCUGCCUCUGCUUUUCAGGCCUGUUUCUGCUGACUGCUGCAGGUGUGUGUGUGCUGCUGCUGUCUGCUCUGACUGUUUCUGCAGGUGAGUUGAAGGUAAAGAACAAACAGGAAGUGAAGUAUGAAUGAAGGAAUUAAGCUAAAGUGUUCCUGGGAGAAAGGGCCAAUGGGAGGGUCUCCAUUAAGGCUGAACCCCCUACAGGUGAGCUGUGGUGAUGAAGCUGCUAACGUAUUGGUGUUGAGUCCUUUGUGGUGGUAUUUGUGUUCCUGCCUCAGCUUCAUCGUCAUCUUCUUCGACAUCAUCAUCAGGCACGUGUUCCAACAGUGAGAGGUGACCUGCAAGGGUCUGUGUAGGAGACAUAAUCAGAGCUGUUCUAAAGAAAGGAGCUUCAAUGCUUCCUGCAUUGCUUCCUUUAGCAUAGGAUACACUGGAUCAAAUCCAUUAUGACAGACAGA